RNAcentral lists this ribosomal RNA (810 nucleotides) under uncultured organism. RNAcentral describes it as "SSU rRNA". It matches the Rfam family "Bacterial small subunit ribosomal RNA", at positions 38 to 854 of the family's 1533-position model. The record is from RNAcentral.
GGCGGCGCACAUAAGACAUGCAAGUCGAACUGACUUAACCUAAAAGUUUACUUUUUGGAGCGGUUAGUGGCGGACUGGUGAGUAACAUGUAAGCAAUCUGCCUAUCAGAGGGGAAUAACAGUGAGAAAUCACUGCUAAUACCGCAUAUGCCAUAGUUAUCGCAUGAUAAUAGUGGGAAAGGAGCAAUCCGCUGAUAGAUGAGCUUGCACCUGAUUAGCUAGUUGGUGGGGUAAAGGCCUACCAAGGCGACGAUCAGUAGCCGGACUGAGAGGUUGAACGGCCACAUUGGGACUGAGAUACGGCCCAGACUCCUACGGGAGGCAGCAGUCGGGAAUAUUGCGCAAUGGAGGAAACUCUGACGCAGUGACGCCGCGUAUGGGAAGAAGGUUUUCGGAUUGUAAACCAUUUUAGACAGGGAAGAAACAAGACAGUACCUGUAGAAUAAGCUCCGGCUAACUACGUGCCAGCAGCCGCGGUAAUACGUAGGGAGCAAGCGUUAUCCGGAUUUAUUGGGUGUAAAGGGUGCGUAGACGGGAAUACAAGUUGGUUGUGAAAUCCCUCGGCUUAACUGAGGAACUGCAACCAAAACUGUAUUUCUUGAGUGCUGGAGAGGAAAGUGGAAUUCCUAGUGUAGCGGUGAAAUGCGUAGAUAUUAGGAGGAACACCAGUGGCGAAGGCGACUUUCUGGACAGUAACUGACGUUGAGGCACGAAAGUGUGGGGAGCAAACAGGAUUAGAUACCCUGGUAGUCCACACCGUAAACGAUGGAUACUAGGUGUAGGGGAUAUUAAGUCCUCUGUGCCGUCGCAA